GAUGAACGCUGGCGGCGUGCUUAACACAUGCAAGUCGAACGGAGUUUACAUGUGAGCGGAGGGUGCUUGCAUCUAACAAUCUUUUGUAAACUUAGUGGCGGACGGGUGAGUAACGCGUGGGUAACCUGCCGUAUGCAGGGGGACAACAGCUGGAAACGGCUGCUAAUACCGCAUGAGACCACAGGACCGCAUGGUCUAGAGGUCAAAGAUUUAUCGGUAGAAGAUGGGCUCGCGUCUGAUUAGCUAGUUGGUGAGGUAACGGCCCACCAAGGCGACGAUCAGUAGCCGACCUGAGAGGGUGAUCGGCCACAUUGGAACUGAGAAACGGUCCAAACUCCUACGGGAGGCAGCAGUGGGGAAUAUUGGGCAAUGGGGGAAACCCUGACCCAGCAACGCCGCGUGAAGGAAGAAGGUUUUCGGAUCGUAAACUUCUAUCCUUGGUGAAGAUAAUGACGGUAGCCAAGAAGGAAGCCCCGGCUAACUACGUG
This 488-nucleotide ribosomal RNA is filed under the name uncultured bacterium. Its description in RNAcentral is "bacterial SSU rRNA". It matches the Rfam family "Bacterial small subunit ribosomal RNA", at positions 28 to 507 of the family's 1533-position model. The record is from RNAcentral.